AUACUGUGAUGGUUGCAUAGUUCAGCAGAUUGAAUAUGAAGAGAUAAGCCAUUUGUCUGAUGUAUCG
Molecule: small nucleolar RNA, 67 nt
Organism: Suricata suricatta (meerkat)
Lineage: Eukaryota; Metazoa; Chordata; Mammalia; Carnivora; Herpestidae
Source: Ensembl